This is a small nuclear RNA of Suncus etruscus (white-toothed pygmy shrew), 104 nucleotides long. The record is from RefSeq and is a predicted model, not a curated record. NCBI's taxonomy places the organism in Eukaryota, Metazoa, Chordata, Mammalia, Eulipotyphla, Soricidae.
AUCUCUUUGGCAGUAUGUCCACUAAAAUUGGAACAAUUCAGAGAUGAUUAGCAUGAUCCCUGUGCAAGAAUGACAUGCAAAUUCAUUAAGCACUGCUUAUUUGA